AUUAGUUCCGCGCUGCGCACCUAGGUCUUAUGUACCUCUAUAAUUUGUAUAGAUAGGUGACGCCCUCGAAACUGCAUCUAGUGCGCUAUCGGAUACCGAGUUGGCGAGACGGAUUCUCAAACUAACAAUUACUGGGACACCGAUUGAGGAGGUGCAGUUAGCUGAGCAACAAGUAGGCGUGGCGACGUCGCCGCGCCACAAGUUGGUCCUCCGCGUCAACUUAAGACCACGCGCAUCGAAAGUCUUCUACAUUAUCGAUCCUGGUUCCUCUCAGGCAGCUGGACCUCUUUCUUCGUAGCGGCUAACAUCACCAUGGGUUGAUCUAAAACUGAAGCUGUAGUAGUGUAGCUUCCACUGAUUAUUUAUUUUUUUAUAAAUAGGGUAUUAUAAAAUAAUAAGUAGUCCGUGGAAGCUACGAUUUUAGUUUAACUUCUUUUUUUUACUUUUGGAUCACACGAAAAAAUUUGCAAGCUGAGUGUAGUAACGCAGGUUUAACGUUAUAUCAUUCUCUAGUGGAAGCUUCGAUAUCGAUCUCCUGUAUUUUAAAUGCCAUGUCACUGGAAAUUCAAAAUGUUAUAACCUGGAUUAUGACCAUUGCCCCCUAAAGUCGCGAAUCCAGCACGGCUUAAAUGGGUGGAUACCCAACAAUGACACUGAUUGCAAUAACAUCCAUGCAUUUUAAAUGCAGAUCUGCAAUCAUUAUUCUCUUUCU
Long non-coding RNA from Helicoverpa armigera (cotton bollworm), 712 nucleotides. RefSeq lists it as uncharacterized. The record is from RefSeq and is a predicted model, not a curated record. NCBI's taxonomy places the organism in Eukaryota, Metazoa, Arthropoda, Insecta, Lepidoptera, Noctuidae. The transcript has 3 exons.